AAGAUAGAGGUGCACUCAAAAUGAGUAUGUUCUGACUGGAUCUGACCAAUCGUCAAUGCAGAACAAAAAGGUGCGAGUGCCGAAGAAAAGAAUCUGGUCCUUUCUUUUCUGGUCACAGCUCCGAACAGGUCUGUGACUGUCAUCGUUGUGAUGGAGAGCUAUCGG
RNAcentral lists this non-coding RNA (165 nucleotides) under uncultured Ruminococcus sp. Its description in RNAcentral is "Lysine riboswitch". It matches the Rfam family "Lysine riboswitch aptamer". Rfam says of the family: Riboswitches are metabolite binding domains within certain messenger RNAs that serve as precision sensors for their corresponding targets. Allosteric rearrangement of mRNA structure is mediated by ligand binding, and this results in modulation of gene expression. Lineage: Bacteria; Bacillati; Bacillota; Clostridia; Eubacteriales; Oscillospiraceae. The record is from RNAcentral.